ACAGGGAUUGCCCUAGUAACGGCGAGUGAAGCGGCAACAGCUCAAAUUUGAAAUCUGGCUCUCGGGCCCGAGUUGUAAUUUGUAGAGGAUACUUUUGAUGCGGUGCCUUCCGAGUUCCCUGGAACGGGACGCCAUAGAGGGUGAGAGCCCCGUCUGGUUGGAUGCCAAAUCUCUGUAAAGUUCCUUCAACGAGUCGAGUAGUUUGGGAAUGCUGCUCUAAAUGGGAGGUAUAUGUCUUCUAAAGCUAAAUACCGGCCAGAGACCGAUAGCGCACAAGUAGAGUGAUCGAAAGAUGAAAAGCACUUUGAAAAGAGAGUUAAAAAGUACGUGAAAUUGUUGAAAGGGAAGCGUUUAUGACCAGACUUGGGCUUGGUUAAUCAUCUGGGGUUCUCCCCAGUGCACUUUUCCAGUCCAGGCCAGCAUCAGUUUUCCCCGGGGGAUAAAGGCGGCGGGAAUGUGGCUCUCUUCGGGGAGUGUUAUAGCCCACCGUGUAAUACCCUGGGGGGGACUGAGGUUCGCGCAUCUGCAAGGAUGCUGGCGUAAUGGUCAUCAACGACCCGUCUUGAAACACGGACCAAGGAGUCGUCUUCGUAUGCGAGUGUUCGGGUGUCAAACCCCUACGCGUAAUGAAAGUGAACGCAGGUGAGAGCUUCGGCGCAUCAUCGACCGAUCCUGAUGUUCUCGGAUGGAUUUGAGUAAGAGCAUACGGGGCCGGACCCGAAAGAAGGUGAACUAUGCCUGUAUAGGGUGAAGCCAGAGGAAACUCUGGUGGAGGCUCGCAGCGGUUCUGACGUGCAAAUCGAUCGUCAAAUAUGGGCAUGGGGGCGAAAGACUAAUCGAACCUUCUAGUAGCUGGUUUCCGCCGAAGUUUCCCUCAGGAUAGCAGUGUUGAACUCAGUUUUAUGAGGUAAAGCGAAUGAUUAGGGACUCGGGGGCGCUAUUUAGCCUUCAUCCAUUCUCAAACUUUAAAUAUGUAAGAAGCUCUUGUUGCUUAAUUGAACGUGAGCAUUCGAAUGUAUCAACACUAGUGGGCCAUUUUUGGUAAGCAGAACUGGCGAUGCGGGAUGAACCGAACGCGAGGUUAAGGUGCCAGAGUAGACGCUCAUCAGACACCACAAAAGGUGUUAGUACAUCUUGACAGCAGGACGGUGGCCAUGGAAGUCGGAAUCCGCUAAGGACUGUGUAACAACUCACCUGCCGAAUGUACUAGCCCUGAAAAUGGAUGGCGCUCAAGCGUCUCACCCAUACCUCGCCCUCAGGGUAGAAACGAUGCCCUGAGGAGUAGGCGGACGUGGAGGUCAGUGACGAAGCCUAGGGCG
This 1319-nucleotide ribosomal RNA is filed under the name Fusarium oxysporum f. sp. cubense. RNAcentral's name for it is "partial large subunit ribosomal RNA". It matches the Rfam family "Eukaryotic large subunit ribosomal RNA", at positions 68 to 1417 of the family's 3401-position model. Lineage: Eukaryota; Fungi; Ascomycota; Sordariomycetes; Hypocreales; Nectriaceae. The record is from RNAcentral.